RNAcentral lists this non-coding RNA (84 nucleotides) under Wolbachia endosymbiont of Armadillidium vulgare. The record is from RNAcentral. Lineage: Bacteria; Pseudomonadati; Pseudomonadota; Alphaproteobacteria; Rickettsiales; Anaplasmataceae.
GAGAGCCACGUGAUACGGAUGCGUGGUUCGGAGAGGGGUUGUUGGAAAAGUGCUUAGUAGUAACUCGCUGGCUACCUACUCUAC